This 460-nucleotide ribosomal RNA is filed under the name uncultured bacterium. RNAcentral's name for it is "partial 16S ribosomal RNA". It matches the Rfam family "Bacterial small subunit ribosomal RNA", at positions 338 to 795 of the family's 1533-position model. The record is from RNAcentral.
CCUACGGGGUGCAGCAGUGAGGAAUAUUGGUCAAUGGACGAGAGUCUGAACCAGCCAAGUAGCGUGAAGGAUGACUGCCCUAUGGGUUGUAAACUUCUUUUAUAUGGGAAUAAAACGUUCCACGUGUGGGAUUUUGUAUGUACCAUAUGAAUAAGGAUCGGCUAACUCCGUGCCAGCAGCCGCGGUAAUACGGAGGAUCCGAGCGUUAUCCGGAUUUAUUGGGUUUAAAGGGAGCGUAGGUGGAUUGUUAAGUCAGUUGUGAAAGUUUGCGGCUCAACCGUAAAAUUGCAGUUGAAACUGGCAGUCUUGAGUACAGUAGAGGUGGGCGGAAUUCGUGGUGUAGCGGUGAAAUGCUUAGAUAUCACGAAGAACUCCGGUUGCGAAGGCAGUUCACUGGACUGCAACUGACACUGAGGCUCGAAAGUGUGGGUAUCAAACAGGAUUAGAUACCCCGGUAGUC